Molecule: ribosomal RNA, 483 nt
Filed under: Triticum aestivum (bread wheat)
Lineage: Eukaryota; Viridiplantae; Streptophyta; Magnoliopsida; Poales; Poaceae
Description: partial small subunit ribosomal RNA
Source: RNAcentral
AUGCUUCACCCCUUGCCAUGUUUAAUAACAUUUAAUAUUGUUGGGUACAAAACCGAGAGGGAACUAAAUAAUCGAUGUGGUGUUUCGUCAAUAUGCAACUCGUUGCAUAUUGAGCUCCACUUAACUUGUAGUAUUGUUUGUUGCACUUUGCCAUGCCAUGCCUCAUUAAACCGGACAUGCAUCAUACUUGUUUGUGCAUCAUGCCAUGUUUAUACUUGUGCAUUUACCAUGUUGUUUUGUUUCUUUCCGGUGUUGCUUCUUAGUCCGGUAAUGUUGCGAUUCGUGAGGAUUCGUUCGUCUAUGCUUGGUUCGUCUUCGUGGCUUCAUAUUCUUCAUGGACUCGUUCUUCUUCCUUGCGGGAUUUCAGGCAAGAUGACCGCUACCCUGGAUCUCACUACUAUCAUUGCUAUGCUAGUUGCUUCGUUCUAUCGCUAUGCUGCGCUACCUAUCACCUGUUUAUCAAGCCAUCCCAAAUUGCCAUGA